RNAcentral lists this ribosomal RNA (963 nucleotides) under Crocidura aleksandrisi (Cyrenaica shrew). RNAcentral describes it as "partial 16S ribosomal RNA". It matches the Rfam family "Bacterial large subunit ribosomal RNA", at positions 958 to 2578 of the family's 2925-position model. Lineage: Eukaryota; Metazoa; Chordata; Mammalia; Eulipotyphla; Soricidae. The record is from RNAcentral.
AAAUUUCAAUGUAAACUUAAAUGUUAAUCUGCAGAGGUACAGCUCUGCAGAAUAAGACUACAACCUUAAUUAGUGAAUAACCUUAUUUUAUAACCAUAGUUGGCCUAAAAGCAGCCAUCAAUUAAGAAAGCGUUCAAGCUCAACAAUUAAACUAACAUUAAAUUCAAUAAAUAAUACCAAUUCCUAAUUCAAAUACUGGAUUAUUCUACUUAUCUGUAGAAGCAAUACUGUUAAUAUGAGUAACAAGAUUUUAUAUCUCCAUACACACGUGUAUAUCAGCCCGAAUACCAACUGAUAGUUAACAACUAGACAAAUCCAUAUAUUUAAUUAAUAAUUUACCACCACAUUGUUAAUCCUACACCGGAGUGUAAUACGGAAAGAUUAAAAAAAGUAAAAGGAACUCGGCAAACCUAAACCCCGCCUGUUUACCAAAAACAUCACCUCUAGCAUCACCAGUAUUAGAGGCACUGCCUGCCCAGUGACAUUAGUUAAACGGCCGCGGUAUCCUGACCGUGCAAAGGUAGCAUAAUCAUUUGUUCCUUAAUUAGGGACUUGUAUGAAUGGCCCCACGAGGGUUUAACUGUCUCUUACUUUUAAUCAGUGAAAUUGACCUCCCCGUGAAGAGGCGGGGAUAUAAAAAUAAGACGAGAAGACCCUACGGAGCUUAAAUUAAGGCGUCCAACAAAAUUUUAAUUUAAUCCAACAGGAAUAACUAUGUUUUAACUGGACAACAGAUUUUGGUUGGGGUGACCUCGGAGUAUAACAAAACCUCCGAGCGAUUUAAAUUUAGACUAACCCGUCAAGGUGAUAUAUUUAUUGAUCCAAUCAUAUUGAUCAACGAAACAAGUUACCCUAGGGAUAACAGCGCAAUCCUAUUUGAGAGUUCAUAUCGACAAUAGGGUUUACGACCUCGAUGUUGGAUCAGGACACCCAAAUGGUGCAGCAGCUAUUAAAGGUUCGUUU